CAUUUUGGGAAAUGAAGAUGCUAUGAACGCUAAUGGAGAAAACGCUAACGCUCGCGCGACCUCUUUCAAACCAAAGAAAAACUGACGAGUUCCAGACUGCUCUAAUCAGCGAAUUACAUCUGAGUUCUGUGUGAUACAAGUGUCUGACAGAAUUGAUGUCAAGGAGGAUUCGGCCUGAUUCAAUGAGGGAUUGAGGACCAAUUUUUUUCAACUUCAGCCAACUGUUGGAGCAUCACCCAAAGCAGAUAAGGUCGUGGAGGAAAAGACGUUAGUUUGACCAAUAAGCUACAUUGUAGCUUAUGACACAAUUGAAGUGGGCGUCAACUGUUCCUCCGGCUUUUGGCACAUUUAAAUGGAGGCCAGUAUCCGGACGAGUCCAGGUUACCUGCUGAUAUCGACAAAGAGAAGCACAGGAUAAAUUGCCACUCAGUGACGGUAUGAAUGUGGGUGCCAAUGGUCGUCUGUCUCUUUGUGUACCCUGUGAUUAAUCAUUUCAGCGUGCUGCCCGUCUUCCAUUGCAAGUGUUGGUGGCUCGGUGGUAGAGUUUUCGCACGCUGCGCGGGAACCCCGAGACUGAUGCCCGGGCACGCCGAUGCAUCUUGGGGUAGCCUUUGCAGCUAGCCUCGCAUCGGGGCAACAGUUCCGCUACGACAACGCGAGCAGACCAGGAUAUACGGUGUUGGAAAUGUCCCACACUACAACAAAUCAUUAUUUUAUCCACACUGGUUUGAGUGCAAUAUUGUUGUGGUUGGUUCGUUGUUUAAAAUGUGUAAAAGAAAUAAUGUUUGUUUUGCAUGUGGGAUGAGAAUUCAGUAAAACGGCAUGUGAGGGACUAACUUGUCCCCCCCCUCCACAGUACUUAAGUUACUGAAUAUGUAUAUAAAAAUGGAUCUUAAGCUACUAUACCGAGUGUGGUUUGAUUGUCAAUAUCAGUUUGCAUAUGACUGAUGAAAAAGGUAAAAUUUCAGAUUUGAAGAAGUCCAUUGGAACUGUUUUGAAAUAAUAAAAAAAACCAUCCCACCUUGUU
Corythoichthys intestinalis (scribbled pipefish) is the source of this 1027-nucleotide long non-coding RNA. RefSeq lists it as uncharacterized. Lineage: Eukaryota; Metazoa; Chordata; Actinopteri; Syngnathiformes; Syngnathidae. The record is from RefSeq and is a predicted model, not a curated record. The transcript has 4 exons.